This 85-nucleotide transfer RNA is filed under the name Crocinitomicaceae bacterium. Its description in RNAcentral is "tRNA-Ser". It matches the Rfam family "tRNA". From Rfam's summary of the family: Transfer RNA (tRNA) molecules are approximately 80 nucleotides in length. Their secondary structure includes four short double-helical elements and three loops (D, anti-codon, and T loops). Lineage: Bacteria; Pseudomonadati; Bacteroidota; Flavobacteriia; Flavobacteriales; Crocinitomicaceae. The record is from RNAcentral.
GGAGAGGUGGCAGAGUGGCUGAACGCGCACGCUUGGAAAGUGUGUUUACAGAGAUGUAACGGGGGUUCGAAUCCCCCUCUCUCCG